RNAcentral lists this ribosomal RNA (484 nucleotides) under uncultured bacterium. Its description in RNAcentral is "partial 16S ribosomal RNA". It matches the Rfam family "Bacterial small subunit ribosomal RNA", at positions 30 to 507 of the family's 1533-position model. The record is from RNAcentral.
AUUGAACGCUGGCGGCAGGCCUAACACAUGCAAGUCGAGCGGAUGAAGGUAGCUUGCUCCUGGAUUCAGCGGCGGACGGGUGAGUAAUGCCUAGGAAUCUGCCUGGUAGUGGGGGAUAACGUCCGGAAACGGGCGCUAAUACCGCAUACGUCCUGAGGGAUAAAGUGGGGGAUCUUCGGACCUCACUCUAUCAGAUGAGCCUAGGUCGGAUUAGCUAGUUGGUGGGGUAAAGGCCUACCAAGGCGACGAUCCGUAACUGGUCUGAGAGGAUGAUCAGUCACACUGGAACUGAGACACGGUCCAGACUCCUACGGGAGGCAGCAGUGGGGAAUAUUGGACAAUGGGCGAAAGCCUGAUCCAGACAUGCCGCGUGUGUGAAGAAGGUCUUCGGAUUGUAAAGCACUUUAAGUUGGGAGGAAGGGCAGUAAGUUAAUAACUUGCUGUUUUGACGUUACCAACAGAAUAAGCACCGGCUAACUUCGUG